RNAcentral lists this ribosomal RNA (250 nucleotides) under uncultured bacterium. RNAcentral's name for it is "partial 16S ribosomal RNA". It matches the Rfam family "Bacterial small subunit ribosomal RNA", at positions 515 to 764 of the family's 1533-position model. The record is from RNAcentral.
CCGCGGUAAUACGAAGGGGGCUAGCGUUGUUCGGAAUUACUGGGCGUAAAGCGCACGUAGGCGGGUUUGUAAGUAGGGGGUGAAAUCCCAGGGCUCAACCCUGGAACUGCCUUCUAGACUGCAAGCCUGGAGGUCAGGAGAGGCGAGUGGAAUACCGAGUGUAGAGGUGAAAUUCGUAGAUAUUCGGUGGAACACCAGUGGCGAAGGCGACUCGCUGGACUGAUACUGACGCUGAGGUGCGAAAGCGUGG